Molecule: ribosomal RNA, 825 nt
Filed under: uncultured bacterium
Lineage: Bacteria
Description: bacterial SSU rRNA
Rfam family: Bacterial small subunit ribosomal RNA
Source: RNAcentral
GGGGGGUGCUAUGCUGCAGUCGAGCGACGCAUGCCCAGUUCGUAAGAACAGGGUAUGACGGAGCGGCGAACGGGUGAGUAACACGUGAGCAACCUGCCCCACAGACCGGGAUAGCCCAAGGAAACUUGGAUUAAUACCGGAUUCCCUCGAACAAUCGCAUGGUUGAUCGAGGAAAGGCCUUUGUGCUGUGGGAUGGGCUCGCGGCUUAUCAGCUAGUUGGCGGGGUAAAGGCCUACCAAGGCAUCGACGGGUAGCUGGUCUGAGAGGACGAUCAGCCACACUGGAACUGAGACACGGUCCAGACUCCUACGGGAGGCAGCAGCAGGGAAUCUUGCGCAAUGGGCGAAAGCCUGACGCAGCAACGCCGCGUGGGGGAUGAAGGCCUUCGGGUUGUAAACCCCUUUCAGGAGGGAAGAAAUUGACGGUACCUCCAGAAGAAGGACCGGCCAACUACGUGCCAGCAGCCGCGGUAAUACGUAGGGUCCUAGCGUUAUCCGGAAUCAUUGGGCGUAAAGAGCUCGUAGGCGGUUCAGCAAGUCGGCUGUGAAAGUCCGAGGCUUAACCUCGGAAUUGCAGUCGAUACUGCUGUGACUCGAGUCCGGUAGAGGAGAAUGGAAUUCUCGGUGUAGCGGUGAAAUGCGCAGAUAUCGAGAGGAACACCAGUAGCGAAGGCGGUUCUCUGGGCCGGCACUGACGCUGAGGAGCGAAAGCGUGGGGAGCAAACAGGAUUAGAUACCCUGGUAGUCCACGCCGUAAACGUUGGAUACUAGGUGUGGCGGUUGUACCAACGACUGCCGGUGCCGAAGCUAACGCAUUAAGGUAUCC